Transfer RNA from Sus scrofa (pig), 72 nucleotides. It matches the Rfam family "tRNA". Rfam says of the family: Transfer RNA (tRNA) molecules are approximately 80 nucleotides in length. Their secondary structure includes four short double-helical elements and three loops (D, anti-codon, and T loops). NCBI's taxonomy places the organism in Eukaryota, Metazoa, Chordata, Mammalia, Artiodactyla, Suidae. The record is from Rfam.
UCCCUGGUGGUCUAGUUGUUAGGACUUGGCACUGUCACUGCUGGAGCCCGGGUUCCAUCCCUGGUCUGGGAA